This is a non-coding RNA of Misgurnus anguillicaudatus (oriental weatherfish), 427 nucleotides long. The record is from the annotation of a RefSeq genome assembly. Lineage: Eukaryota; Metazoa; Chordata; Actinopteri; Cypriniformes; Cobitidae.
CUGCAGGAUAUUUUUGUCAUUUGUUAGUAAAGAUGAUGCUGCUUGUCCUGAUGACAUUUUCUCUCUUUAAAGAGAAUGCUGCUGCAGAUUUAAUAACAUCAUUGUUCACAGAGAAACAUGUUUUUGAAGGAGAUGAUGUGACUUUAUCCUGCGACUACAGUGGCAAUGUACAAAAUUUACAGUGGUACCGUCAAUAUCCCGGAUCCAAACCUGAGAAUCUCAUUCUUCACACUGAGGUCAGUGGUCGGUCAGAGCCCAAGAUUCGUCUGUACGCCGUUGCUGAUAAAGCUGUCAAACGUAUGAAUCUGAGUAUCUCUACAACACAAACAGAGGAUUCAGCUGUGUAUUACUGUGCCCUGAGCCCACAGUGACAUGAAACACAAACACACUGUACAAAAACCUGACUGCAGCAAAUAUCAAUGUAGAG